GAUGAACGCUGGCGGCGUGCCUAAUACAUGCAAGUCGAGCGAACAGACGAGGAGCUUGCUCCUCUGACGUUAGCGGCGGACGGGUGAGUAACACGUGGAUAACCUACCUAUAAGACUGGGAUAACUUCGGGAAACCGGAGCUAAUACCGGAUAAUAUAUUGAACCGCAUGGUUCAAUAGUGAAAGACGGUUUUGCUGUCACUUAUAGAUGGAUCCGCGCCUCAUUAGCUAGUUGGUAAGGUAUCGGAUUACCAAGGCAACGAUGCGUAGCCGACCUGAGAGAGUAUUCGCCCACAGUGUAACUGAGCUAAAGUGCAUGCUCCGUAGGGAGGCAACGAUAGGGAAUCAUCCGCGAUGCGCGAAAGCAUGACGGAGCAACACCGCGUGAAUGAUGAAGGUCUUCGGAUCGUAAAACUCUCUUAUUAGGGAAGAACAAAUGUGUAAGUAACUAUGAACGUCUUGACGGUACCUAAUCAGAAAGCCACGGCUAACUACGUG
This 497-nucleotide ribosomal RNA is filed under the name uncultured bacterium. Its description in RNAcentral is "partial 16S ribosomal RNA". It matches the Rfam family "Bacterial small subunit ribosomal RNA", at positions 28 to 507 of the family's 1533-position model. The record is from RNAcentral.